ACACGGCUGGUGUAAUGGUAACAUCUGCGCUUCCCAUGCGCUGGCCCUGGGUUCGAUUCCCAGGCCGUGUA
RNAcentral lists this transfer RNA (71 nucleotides) under Kwoniella heveanensis CBS 569. RNAcentral describes it as "tRNA-Gly (CCC) (tRNA-Gly-CCC-1-1)". It matches the Rfam family "tRNA". Rfam says of the family: Transfer RNA (tRNA) molecules are approximately 80 nucleotides in length. RNAcentral also lists the same sequence under 1 other name. The record is from RNAcentral. Lineage: Eukaryota; Fungi; Basidiomycota; Tremellomycetes; Tremellales; Cryptococcaceae.